ACCCUGAUCCAGCAAUGCCGCGUGUGUGAAGAAGGCCUUCGGGUUGUAAAGCACUUUUGUCCGGAAAGAAAACGUCUUGGUUAAUACCCGAGGCGGAUGACGGUACCGGAAGAAUAAGCACCGGCUAACUACGUGCCAGCAGCCGCGGUAAUACGUAGGGUGCGAGCGUUAAUCGGAAUUACUGGGCGUAAAGCGUGCGCAGGCGGUCUGUUAAGACCGAUGUGAAAUCCCCGGGCUUAACCUGGGAACUGCAUUGGUGACUGGCAGGCUUUGAGUGUGGCAGAGGGGGGUAGAAUUCCACGUGUAGCAGUGAAAUGCGUAGAGAUGUGGAGGAAUACCGAUGGCGAAGGCAGCCCCCUGGGCCAACACUGACGCUCAUGCACGAAAGCGUGGGGAGCAAACAGGAUUAGAUACCCUGGUAGUCCACGCCCUAAACGAUGUCAACUAGUUGUUGGGGAUUCAUUUCCUUAGUAACGUAGCUAACGCGUGAAGUUGACCGCCUGGGGAGUACGGUCGCAAGAUUAAAACUCAAAGGAAUUGACGGGGACCCGCACAAGCGGUGGAUGAUGUGGAUUAAUUCGAUGCAACGCGAAAAACCUUACCUACCCUUGACAUGGUCGGAAGUCUGCUGAG
RNAcentral lists this ribosomal RNA (633 nucleotides) under Burkholderia sp. IBb351. RNAcentral describes it as "bacterial SSU rRNA". It matches the Rfam family "Bacterial small subunit ribosomal RNA", at positions 380 to 1005 of the family's 1533-position model. RNAcentral also lists the same sequence under 2 other names. Lineage: Bacteria; Pseudomonadati; Pseudomonadota; Betaproteobacteria; Burkholderiales; Burkholderiaceae. The record is from RNAcentral.